This 121-nucleotide small nuclear RNA is filed under the name Gopherus evgoodei (Goodes thornscrub tortoise). RNAcentral describes it as "U2 spliceosomal RNA (ENSGEVG00005013194.1)". It matches the Rfam family "U2 spliceosomal RNA". From Rfam's summary of the family: U2 is a small nuclear RNA (snRNA) component of the spliceosome (involved in pre-mRNA splicing). Complementary binding between U2 snRNA (in an area lying towards the 5' end but 3' to hairpin I) and the branchpoint sequence (BPS) of the intron results the bulging out of an unpaired adenosine, on the BPS, which initiates a nucleophilic attack at the intronic 5' splice site, thus starting the first of two transesterification reactions that mediate splicing. Lineage: Eukaryota; Metazoa; Chordata; Testudines; Testudinidae. The record is from Rfam by way of RNAcentral.
CUUGCUUCUCAGUGUAUUUUUCUUCUCAUCAAAGCGUAGUGUCUGUUCUGAUCAGUGUAAUCUCUGAUAUGUCCUUGAUGUGAGGACUGUAUAUUAGCUUGCUCUCUCAUAGUAACUCUAC